This 253-nucleotide ribosomal RNA is filed under the name uncultured bacterium. Its description in RNAcentral is "partial 16S ribosomal RNA". It matches the Rfam family "Bacterial small subunit ribosomal RNA", at positions 524 to 776 of the family's 1533-position model. The record is from RNAcentral.
UACGUAGGGUGCAAGCGUUGUCCGGAAUUAUUGGGCGUAAAGAGCUCGUAGGCGGUUUGUCGCGUCUGGUGUGAAAAUCCAGGGCUUAACCCUGGACCUGCAUCGGGUACGGGCAGACUAGAGUGCGGUAGGGGAGAUCGGAAUUCCUGGUGUAGCGGUGAAAUGCGCAGAUAUCAGGAGGAACACCGGUGGCGAAGGCGGGUCUCUGGGCCGUAACUGACGCUGAGACGCGAAAGCGUGGGGAGCGAACAGG